UNCAGUACGCUUCUGGCUUUCUAACAGAC
RNAcentral lists this non-coding RNA (29 nucleotides) under Mus musculus (house mouse). The record is from RNAcentral. Lineage: Eukaryota; Metazoa; Chordata; Mammalia; Rodentia; Muridae.